Molecule: ribosomal RNA, 426 nt
Filed under: uncultured bacterium
Lineage: Bacteria
Description: partial 16S ribosomal RNA
Rfam family: Bacterial small subunit ribosomal RNA
Source: RNAcentral
GUGAGGAAUUUUCCGCAAUGGGCGAAAGCCUGACGGAGCAAUGCCGCGUGAAGGAUGAAGGCCUAUGGGUUGUAAACUUCUUUUCUCAGAAAAGAAUUAUGACGGUAUCUGAGGAAUAAGCAUCGGCUAACUCUGUGCCAGCAGCCGCGGUAAGACAGAGGAUGCAAGCGUUAUCCGGAAUGAUUGGGCGUAAAGCGUCUGUAGGUUGUUUAAAAAGUAUUCUGUCAAAGAUUAGGGCUUAACCCUAGAUAGGCAGAAUAAACUUUUAAGCUAGAGUUUGGUAGAGGCAGAAGGAAUUCCCGGUGGAGCGGUGAAAUGCGUAGAUAUCGGGAGGAACACCAAAGGCGAAGGCACUCUGCUGGGCCAAUACUAACACUGAGAGACGAAAGCGAGGGGAGCAAAUGGGAUUAGAAACCCGAGUAGUCC